Coffea eugenioides is the source of this 107-nucleotide small nucleolar RNA. The record is from RefSeq and is a predicted model, not a curated record. NCBI's taxonomy places the organism in Eukaryota, Viridiplantae, Streptophyta, Magnoliopsida, Gentianales, Rubiaceae.
AGGCCAUGGUGGAGAUAUCUUAUUUGAAGAUCUUUAAAUCUCUCCUAAACUUCAUAUAAUGACUCACCUUCAUGUUGAGUAAAACCUGUGAUAUUCAUGCGAAAUUU